This is a long non-coding RNA of Carassius carassius (crucian carp), 478 nucleotides long. RefSeq lists it as uncharacterized. Lineage: Eukaryota; Metazoa; Chordata; Actinopteri; Cypriniformes; Cyprinidae. The transcript is spliced from 4 exons. The record is from RefSeq and is a predicted model, not a curated record.
UUUUCAAAGCUUGGUGAUGAGUGUUAAAUGAUUGGUGAUCACAGAAUAUGACAUCUGCUGGUCCUAAGGUUUCAGUGCUGAUAUUGUCUGUCUCUUGUUUAGUGUCGAUGCAGCUCGAGGUGACGGUUCUCUUGGGCUUGUAAACGAUGACCAUAUUAACCCAAACAGCAGGAUUAAGACGAUUCGUGUGGAUGGAAAACCUCACUUAUGUUUAUUUGCUACAAGGAGCAUCUGUCCUGGUGAAGAGAUCCCAUACGAUUAUGGUGAUUCUGAUUGGCCAUGGAGAUGCACGACUUUUCUAUAGUGUGGUUGAACCGUCCACUCUUGAAGUCAACACUCUGUCCCAGUCAGAAGACACAGACGUAUAGAAGGUGACUCUGAAGAAGGACCGGUUACUAUUGGAUGAUCCGGACUGUGUUGAGUAGAUGUCACCUGUCAAAGAGCAUGUGCUGAAUGAGGAGCAGAGCGUUUGUGCCCC